This 482-nucleotide ribosomal RNA is filed under the name uncultured bacterium. RNAcentral describes it as "partial 16S ribosomal RNA". It matches the Rfam family "Bacterial small subunit ribosomal RNA", at positions 28 to 507 of the family's 1533-position model. The record is from RNAcentral.
GACGAACGCUGGCGGCGUGCCUAACACAUGCGAGUCGAACGGAACUGUUUUGAAAGAUUUCUUCGGAAUGAAUUUGAUUUAGUUUAGUGGCGGACGGGUGAGUAACGCGUGAGUAACCUGCCUUCAAGAGGGGAAUAACAUUCUGAAAAGAAUGCUAAUACCGCAUGACAUAUCGGAACCACAUGGUUUUGAUAUCAAAGAUUUUAUCGCUUGAAGAUGGACUCGCGUCCGAUUAGUUAGUUGGUGAGGUAACGGCUCACCAAGACCGCGAUCGGUAGCCGGACUGAGAGGUUGCACGGCCACAUUGGGACUGAGACACGGCCCAGACUCCUACGGGAGGCAGCAGUGGGGGAUAUUGCGCAAUGGGGGCAACCCUGACGCAGCAACGCCGCGUGAAGGAUGAAGGUUUUCGGAUUGUAAACUUCUUUUAUUAAGGACGAAAAAUGACGGUACUUAAUGAAUAAGCUCCGGCUAACUACGUG